Molecule: microRNA precursor, 63 nt
Filed under: Pristionchus pacificus
Lineage: Eukaryota; Metazoa; Nematoda; Chromadorea; Rhabditida; Neodiplogasteridae
Description: mir-8364 microRNA precursor family
Rfam family: mir-8364 microRNA precursor family
Source: Rfam by way of RNAcentral
UCUUCAUUCUUCACACUAUCUAACCGGGGUCAGAGAGGCGAGAGAGUGUGCGAAAUGAAGAGA